This 790-nucleotide ribosomal RNA is filed under the name uncultured cyanobacterium. Its description in RNAcentral is "bacterial SSU rRNA". It matches the Rfam family "Bacterial small subunit ribosomal RNA", at positions 36 to 872 of the family's 1533-position model. Lineage: Bacteria; Bacillati; Cyanobacteriota. The record is from RNAcentral.
CUGGCGGUAUGCUUACACAUGCAAGUCGAACGAAAGUUUUUAACUUUAGUGGCGAACGGGUGCGUAAUACGUGAGAAUCUGCCCUUAGGAGAAGAAUAACUGCUGGAAACGGUUGCUAAAUCUUCAUAUGUCGAGAGAUGAAAUAGCUUAGGCUGCCUAAGGAUGAGCUCACGCCUGAUUAGCUUGUUGGUGAGGUAAUGGCUCACCAAGGCCACGAUCAGUAGCUGGUUUGAGAGAACGAUCAGCCACACUGGGACUGAGACACGGCCCAGACUCCUCCGGGAGGCAGCAGUGAGGAAUUUUCCGCAAUGGGCGAAAGCCUGACGGAGCAAUACCGCGUGAGGGAUGAAGGAUUUUGGUCUGUAAACCUCUUUUCUCAAGAAAGAAGUUCUGACGGUACUUGAGGAAUAAGCAUCGGCUAACUCCGUGCCAGCAGCCGCGGUAAUACGGGGGAUGCAAGCGUUAUCCGGAAUGAUUGGGCGUAAAGCGCCUGUAGGUUGUUUAUUAAGUCCGUUGUUAAAGCCUAGGGCUUAACCCUAGAAAAGCAAUGGAAACUAGUAGACUAGAGUAUGGCAGGGGUAGAGGGAAUUUCUAGUGUAGCGGUGAAAUGCGUAGAUAUUAGAAAGAACACCGGUGGCGAAAGCGCUCUACUGGACCAUUACUGACACUCAGAGGCGAAAGCUAGGGUAGCAAAAGGGAUUAGAUACCCCUGUAGUCCUAGCCGUAAACGAUGGAUACUAGAUGUUGUGCAUUAUGUACAGUAUCGUAGCUAACGCGUUAAGUAUCCCGC